GUUACGCAUGUACGCGAGGCACGGUGUCGGCCGCCGCCGCCAAACGCCCGGAUGGCUUUUCGCCUCUUCGCCUCGAUCGCGAUCGCCAGAACAAGUUGAACAACGGCGGACAAGGGACGGCCACCGAGCAUUCGCUACAACUUUAGCUGAAGACGCCCCAUCAACGAUUUCGAGAAGGGCAUCGAUAAUUGAUUGACUGGCCAUGGUUACUGUGGAUUUUGGAGGCUUUGUCAUUUGUGAAAUCAAUGUGAUAAUUAAUAAGAUUUCUUGUCCAGUUAAUAUAGAAUUUUUCAAAUACUAGGGGCAGGUCCAUGGGGACAUUGAUGUGAUGCUUACGAAAAAUAUAUAAAUAAUAAUAAUAUAAUGUGGCAUCUGUCUAAGAGUUACUA
Molecule: long non-coding RNA, 389 nt
Organism: Triticum aestivum (bread wheat)
Lineage: Eukaryota; Viridiplantae; Streptophyta; Magnoliopsida; Poales; Poaceae
Exons: 2
Source: RefSeq, a predicted model, not a curated record